GGAGAGUGAGAGCAGGGCUGAUAUUCAGCUCCUUCACAUUGGCACAGCUGCCCUGCUUGUUAGAACACUGAAAGCCUUCCCUGAGCUUCCCACUGACCUCCUGAUCUUCUCCGUGAUCCUGCAAAUGAAGGAUUAGUGCCUGGCACAGCCGUGGCCCUCCAAGGCUCUGCUUCAGUGGUGGUCAUUUUGACUGGUCAGUGCCUGUCUACACCAGUUGUUAAAUAUUUUGGUUAGGCCUCUAGAUGAGGGGGCUCAGGCACAGAGGCACUCACCAUGAGCAGGCGCUAGGAAGCAAAUGGUUUGCACGAUGACAUGUAUGCAUAGCUGCAUUUUGAAAUUACGUGCUUCUUGCUGCGUCCCCAGGGACAUGUAUUCUUGACCGCAGAAGGAAGAGCAGCUCCCCACAUCCCCUCAGUCCUGCCUGACACUGCACUGAAUGCUCAGCUUGCCCCUAGAGCAAUGGGGUGGAGAUCUCCUCUGGCAAACACGACAUAUAAUAUUUUUAUGAUGGAUGGAAAGACAUGGUGGCACAAUUCUGAAGAAAAAAAUUUCACAAAACAUGCAAAGAAACAGAAACAGUUGAAGAGCAGCUCCUGUGUCUAAGCCAGGUCCUGGGGCCAUCAAACCAGGACUUGAAACCACAAUGCGAGGACAUUCUCCAUCUGCGCACCACAGGGAGGCAAUUCCAUUUCUGCCCGGGAGGUGUAUUCUACAAAAACGUCUGCUUCCCAUCCCAAUUUGAAUGGACCAAGAAAAACUGCUUUACCAUAGGACACUUGUGGCAAUAUGGCACCAAUGGCUGGCGUCGGCGAACCCGACAGACUAUGGAUUUAUCAUUUAAUAAAGCAUUGAUUCAUUUUUUCAGUCAUUCAUUGAACAGAUAUUAAUAGACCACCUCACAUGCUGACAAUAUCAAAAUACAAUGAGGAAACUAACAGUGACCCAGGCAUGCAUUCUUCCCCGAGCAAGAUCACAGUCCAGAGUGUGAGCACAACCAUACUAAAUAGCUUUUAUGGGAGGUGGGAGUACACAAAGUAUUAUAUCUGCAAAGAAACUGCUAAGAAUUGUGGGAGCGCCCCAGGAGGUGAUUUCCUGCUUGCGUGACCAGCACAAAGAAAUGGGGUAAUUGAGAGUGUCAUGAAG
This 1143-nucleotide long non-coding RNA is filed under the name Pan troglodytes (chimpanzee). Its description in RNAcentral is "long non-coding RNA NONPTRT010230". The record is from RNAcentral. Lineage: Eukaryota; Metazoa; Chordata; Mammalia; Primates; Hominidae.